UGGAGAGUUUGAUCCUGGCUCAGGACGAACGCUGGCGGCGUGCCUAAUACAUGCAAGUCGAGCGAGCUGAAUUCAAAGAUCCCUUCGGGGUGAUUUGUUGGACGCUAGCGGCGGAUGGGUGAGUAACACGUGGGCAAUCUGCCCUAAAGACUGGGAUACCACUUGGAAACAGGUGCUAAUACCGGAUAACAACAUGAAUCGCAUGAUUCAAGUUUGAAAGGCGGCGNAAGCUGUCACUUUAGGAUGAGCCCGCGGCGCAUUAGCUAGUUGGUGGGGUAAAGGCCUACCAAGGCAAUGAUGCGUAGCCGAGUUGAGAGACUGAUCGGCCACAUUGGGACUGAGACACGGCCCAAACUCCUACGGGAGGCAGCAGUAGGGAAUCUUCCACAAUGGACGAAAGUCUGAUGGAGCAACGCCGCGUGAGUGAAGAAGGUUUUCGGAUCGUAAAGCUCUGUUGUUGGUGAAGAAGGAUAGAGGCAGUAACUGGUCUUUAUUUGACGGUAAUCAACCAGAAAGUCACGGCUAACUACGUGCCAGCAGCCGCGGUA
RNAcentral lists this ribosomal RNA (548 nucleotides) under Lactobacillus delbrueckii subsp. bulgaricus. RNAcentral's name for it is "bacterial SSU rRNA". It matches the Rfam family "Bacterial small subunit ribosomal RNA", at positions 1 to 522 of the family's 1533-position model. Lineage: Bacteria; Bacillati; Bacillota; Bacilli; Lactobacillales; Lactobacillaceae. The record is from RNAcentral.